This 253-nucleotide ribosomal RNA is filed under the name uncultured bacterium. RNAcentral's name for it is "partial 16S ribosomal RNA". It matches the Rfam family "Bacterial small subunit ribosomal RNA", at positions 524 to 776 of the family's 1533-position model. The record is from RNAcentral.
UACGGAGGGUGCAAGCGUUAAUCGGAAUUACUGGGCGUAAAGCGCGCGUAGGCGGCUAGAUAAGUCGGAUGUGAAAGCCCCGGGCUCAACCUGGGAACUGCAUACGAUACUGUCUGGCUAGAGUAUGAGAGAGGGAGGUAGAAUUCCACGUGUAGCGGUGAAAUGCGUAGAUAUGUGGAGGAAUACCGGUGGCGAAGGCGGCCUCCUGGCUUAAUACUGACGCUGAGGUGCGAAAGCGUGGGGAGCAAACAGG